ACCCUGUACAACUUUGGUACGCGACUUGUCAAACUUUUGUUGGACUGGGACUUUCUACGAGUGAGAAAAAAUUUCAUUGGCUUUAAAAUGGAAAUAUGUUGGUAAAAUUAGAAAACAAAGUUAUUGGCGAGUCCGAAGUGGUAAUCUUAUCAUCGAAAUAUUUAACUCGAGUGGAAAUGUUUGAUAGAAAAAUUACUUCGUAAAGUAAGCAUAUCGCGUCUACAUGACGACAGGGCGGAUUAAUCGGAAUACAUUACAAAGAAAACGCGAUGAAAUUAUUCAAGGUUUUCACCGAGUGCGUUUUGUGCUGAAAUUUUUGUAACAAAGAAAUAUUACAACAAAUUUAAACAAAAUAUAAUUUUAUCAACAAAACCAAAGCAUAAGCCAACAAUACGAUAAAUCAGUAUCCUUAAAAACGAAUUGGGGAAAACGUAGAUAGACGUUGGAAGAAAUUUUGGUAUCAAAAAUCAGUAAUAACCAACAUAUCUAUAUAAGCAAACAGUAACAACAACGAAAUUAGUGCGUGCUGCAAUUAAUGUUGUAGUGACUGUGCCUAGUACAUAAAUACAUACAUAUGUAUUUACCAAAGAGCGGAAGUUCAAUUUGCGAAUAAUAUUUAGGACAAAUCUAAGUGCAAUCUUCGAGCGCAGUUUUACGUUUUCCGUUGUUUUACUUCACAGCAUGCAAGGUACUCGUCGGAAGCACUGCAUUUUCCACCAUAGAUAAAUGGUAACGGCAUUUGACGAUCGAGGUAAAAGGGAACCUAGGAAAGAACAUUUAAUACUGCGCCGUUAAUGCCAACGCCACUCUCGUCAUAUUAGAGGUAGAAGUACUAUAGCUUUAAGUACUUGCAUGUCGAGAAGUCGGUUUUAAAAAGAUUUCAGCAAGGCAUUGGGUUCAGCAAAUGUACACGUAUAGGACUUUCAACACAUUAUAAUUGCGCAAUAUUCCUCUGAAAUAAUUGGAAACGAAAAAGCAAACAAUUCGACGACUUGAUCGCAGAUCUCUACGUUUUCCAUAAAAAUCGUUUGCAAUAUAAUAAAUGCUAAGUGGUGAUCAAAAGAAAAUAUGCAAAUAACGUCAGAAAACGUGUAAAUAAAAUUUGCCAAAUAGUCGUACAAACACCUUAAUUUGCGGACAAAGAGACACUAACAGACUGCCGCAUAUACAAUAUACAAUACAAUCACAAUCUCAAAAGGAUGACUUUAAUUUCCUGGAGAAAUUAAAAAAGGCGUAUCAUUUGCUAAAUUAUUUUGACAGUCAUUAGCAGUCAAAGGAAAUUUACAUCAUAAGAAUAUACGAAAUAUCAAAACCGACAUGAAGUAUACCACUGGAGAUAAUAGUGGCAAUAGCCAGAACAUGUGUGGAACCAAUGACCAAACUCCUAAAACAUUUGACUUUGCCCGAAAUCAGAGUCCAAUUACAUUUAGUGAACAGGUUACUACUGUGACGAGGUUUUUUGAAGGAUGGAAUGAUUGCGAACGAACAGUUGUUAUAUAUGCCCUGCUGAAGCGCCUGAGGUAUCCUAGUUUAAAAUUCUUACAAUACGCUAUUGACCACGCCCUGACGCAAAGCUUAGGCUCAGAUUCUAACCUAAGUAGUGUUAUCAUCGACAUAAAUGCGAACAAUCCAUCGUAUUUGCAAAAUCUAUUAAACGCCUAUAGGACGUUGCACUUGAACGACGCCGUGGACGCUCUGACAUCGGGCUCUUUGGACAAGGAAUCCAUGCCAUGCUAUGGUUCUGAUUUUCAAAUCACAAACUGCGAUGAACGCAAAUUAUACGAGAAAAAGAAGGAGAUACUGUGCGAAGUUUUGAACAUGUUACCGCUAUUGAAACCGGGAAACGAUGACGCCAAGUUAGCUUAUUUGGCUCUCGUUCCAGCAGCAGUGAGGGACACUAUGAAUCAGCGGGUCCCCACAGAGUUGGUACAACAAAUAUUUUCGUACUUACUCAUCCACCCCGCUAUAAGUAACGAAGACCGCCGCUCGCUCAGUGUUUGGUUGCGACAUCUGGAAGAUCAUUUGCAUGCUACCGAUAAGUUGACGGAUCCGAAAAACCCCAACAACUAUACCAUCAACCAGAGCAUAGCUGCUGGGUCGGAUGCUUCAGUUUCCUCAAUAACAUCGUCGUCAUCUAUGUCGAACAAUUCGAUGUCAUCAUCGGGCAGUUCGGCAGCAGGGCACAUAUCGACUUCGCAUACAAUGCCAAGGAGCAUUGAUUGGCAAACCAUUGCUCCGCCAAGCAAACAGCACCACUUAGUGCAACAAACUCCGCUUCCACAGCCAAAGUCACACCCGGACUGGUCCAGCUUUCCGCGGAGAGAUAGUGGGUUCUCAAACAGUUGCUUAAAUAAUUUGAGCGGUAUAAGCUCAAGUAGUAGCGGCAGCAGUUGUAGUAAUCGGCGAAACAGUAGCAUUACUGACCAACUCUGUGAUAAUUUCAAUGGUAUUAAUCUAAACGAAUUAGGAUCUAGUCAAAACAAGAUGGGCUUGUCUUUGGGGAUCGCAACCAUUGGGUGUGACACAAAUCCAGAGGAAUCAUCAUUGGUAAAUGGAGUGGCUGCAGCAGCCGCCGCAACUGCUGGCACUACAAUACCUGGCCUUUUUGGCAACAGCAAUAAUACGCCAAUGAUAAACAUCGUGAGCAGUGGUGCCAAUGACACAAGCCUAUGUGCCAGCACCAGUGCCAAUAAUCCCAACAACGAUGACCAUGAUACAUCCUUUUCCAAGAAUGGCACCGAAAUCGUCGACUUUGAGCCUCACGUGACCAUCAACGUUAGCGAAGAAUGCAAAAAUGGUGCUUCAGUGCCUGCAGGCCAUGAACAAAAUGCAAACAAUCAAUUACAGCAAAAGUCCCAAAUGGAAUUUACUUCGAUGACGGCAGGUAAUUAUGAACAGAUGGAUGUGACUCGCUGGAGCUUAGAUGGAAAACUGGGUGCACUUAAAACUCGACGCUCUAAUAGCCUUACUACACAAGCAAUAUCCACAUCUUCGUCGUCUUCUAAUUCUUCGGUGAUUACAGUCAAUGACAACUGUUCAAAUUCCACUGAAAAUUUGGCACAGUUUGCAAAUAAGCCUAGAAGUUUCUCGCUUUCCAUAGAACAUCAGCGUGGUGUUUUAGCCAAUAGUGGUUCAGAUACACGCCUCGAUGAUUUCAAGCCCGGUUAUAUAAAAUUUCAAACACGAAAUGUCGGCAUGUCAAAUAUUGGCUUGUGGUUGAAGUCUUUGCGCUUACAUAAGUACAUUGAUCUCUUCAAGAAUAUGACAUAUGAAGAUAUGCUUUGUAUCACUGAAGAGUAUUUGCAAGGUUUAGGCGUCACCAAAGGCGCUUCGCACAAGCUAGCACUCUGCAUAGAAAAACUCAAGGACCGCUCGCCUCACUUAAGCAAACUGGAGCAGGAUUUGCGAAAUGGUCAAACGAAAAUACAAGCGGCUGUAGAGGAUUUAGCCAACAUGGUACUCUCUCCCAUGAAACCUGUUGAAGCUUUUAGUAGUGGAGCAAACGAAGACAAUGUAGCGCUCGGCUUUCUGAAAGUGGUUGAUAUAGUGAGCUCUAUGAUUCAACACGACACUGGCGCGUCGCAGGACGAGGAAAACAUUAACGUACUGAUGUGGGUUCUUGACCGUUCCAUACACAACGAGGCUUUUGUGAACCAAUCCACCCAGCUUAAGGAAUUAAAGUUCAAACUGUCAAAGCUAAAAAUGUCGAUUGGGCACAAAGCGCACCACGUCAAAAAUGGAAGUGUAGGAAAUUUAAAUAAGCCUAGGUGGGGUGGUAAAUCGCGCAAAUGUGACGUAAAAAAUGGAAGCAAUGACCGCAUCAACCAUAGAAAAAAUUCGAAUGAUACGCUAAACUUCUCAAUCAACGGCGUACCUACAACGCAGCAGCAACAGCACCAUGGCAUUCAUGCUCAACCGGCUGAUUUCGAAAAGGUCGCUCACCUAAACGUUGGUGCUAAUAACAGCGGCAAUAACGGGGUAUCGCAGCAGCAAUACAAAAGUUCGUCAUAUCCCAAUUUCAUGAGCAACCAACAUCAGCAGGGAAAGCAGCAACAUCAAAAUCAUCAUUCACAAUUAUCGCAACAACAACAACAACAGAUGCAACCUGCAGUUCUGUCACACCAUGCUCAUUUUCCGGCGCUACCUUCACACCAACAGCAGCAGCAACCCCAACAACAUCAUCGGCGAUCCCUUAAUAAUUUAAUAGUGGUGUCUGGAGGACCACAGCAAGCCCAAAAAAUGACCUUUAAACCAGGUCAAGGCAUUGUACCUGUAGUGCCAACGUCCACCGAAAGCCAACUACGCCGUACUAGUCUUACAACAACGAUCACUAAUCAAAGCAGUAAUAAUGUUAAUUUGCCAUCUACGUUUGCCCCAAGUGUUGGAAAUGUAGCCGCCGGCAAUGGCGACUCGUCAAAGCAAAAACCAAAUAUACUGCAAGCACAACACCAACAACAAACAAAGCAGACAAUGACAUCAGCUGUAAUGGUUAGUACCGACGAACUUGCACUUGGAGGUGUGAUCGGCCCACAACAACAACCUCAACAACACUCACAUCUAAUAAAUAACAACAGUAGCAUGCUAAAUAAUAAUUUACUUUGCCAACAGCAGCAGCAACAGUUGCAGCUAUUAGCCGCUGCAGCCGCAGCUGUUGGCAACAGCUGUCGAAAUAGCAACUUAUUGAACUGUCUGUGCAAUGUUAACGCUAACGGUAGCAACAAUUGUAGUAAAACCAACUGUUGUAGUGUCAAUAAUGCCAAUAGUUGUAGCAAUUUACCGACCCAAUUCAUCGAGCCACAUAGCGGCAACCAACGUUCGUCUCUAGCAACCCCUGCAACAAUGCCACUGUUAAAUAAUAUAAAUAUGUCGCUGAAAGAUAAAUUCCCUACCAAAGGUUCCUUGUCCAAUUCUGCUGCUGUAAAUAUGAACGACAUUAAUAGUUUAGAUCAACUAGAAACGCUCUGCUUGCAAAUGACCGAACAGGCAAUCAACUAGGAUUGUUAAUUCCUUUGGUUAUAUUUGAUGAAUUUUUUUUUUUCGUUCAACGCAGAUAAUGGUUGCAUUUUGUUUGAUACUUGGUACUUGUUGUAGAUAUUUUUGGUUUCUGUCUUUCAUUAACUUUACUUUCCUCUGUUAGACAAAUUGUAACUACUAACCUAGACGAAGUUGAUUAUAUACAAGUAUUUAGAAUAUUGCCACUAUUUAACUUGUUAAAUGGAUUUAGCUAGUUAAUUAGUGGAAACCCAGUUAAAUCAAACAUACCAUUAGUUAGUCAACGACGUAAGCGUCAUAAGUAGUUGUGGUAUACCUGAUUUUGUGGUUAGAUGUAUAUUUUCCGAAUUGUAAUUGAUUCCGCUUUUUUGUUCUCUUUGUUUCUUUAAUUAUUCAGGAGAAUUUUUCGAAUUUCGAAGAGAUCUUUACUCUAUUCUAACAUUUUGAGAAGUGACGUAAUCAGACUAAACCUUUCAAAGUAAAUCCAUUCUACCGUUGGAUAAGGAAGCCUGGAAACAGAAAGCAUGUUCUAAUCAAGAUAGAAGAAUAAACGUUUGAAUGCCCCUGAAAACUCUGAUGGCCAACUGUUGACACUAAUUCAAUUGAAUGAAUAAUGAGAGCCGAUUAUUACCUGGAUAAAACUCAUCACAAUGACAGGCGCCGCUCUCGUACGGAACGUAAUUGCUGAAUUUAAUUUUAACUAAAAAAAUAAUGCAACAUAUUUAGAAUUUUAGUAGUAAAAUACUUAAAUAUUUUACUAAGGUAUUUAGCAGGAAUGAGAAAUUUCGACUAAUCAAGGCACACUGUGUAAAGCUGAACUUAUAUCUUAUAAUACGCAUGAAUGCAUGUAUCGAUUUAAGAUGUCAACUAUAUAUACUAAAUAAUAUUUAACAUAGCUAAGCUGAAAUUACAUAUAUAUAGUCGUAUAGACCCUUUUUGUAAGCCCCUUGCGUAGCAUUUCGGCAUAAUCUUGUUGUUGUAAGAGCAUACGAACUCGCCAGAAAGUGUGUGGGAAUACUGCUGGAGUGGCAGUCCUUGGCCAAAUAUAAAUCUGGUUCGUUCCAGUUACGUAUGUAGGUCUGACUGUCCUGGGAACGAUCUCAGCAUAAUAGUUGGGGGA
RNAcentral lists this unclassified non-coding RNA (6112 nucleotides) under Rhagoletis pomonella (apple maggot). RNAcentral describes it as "protein Smaug, transcript variant X2". The record is from RNAcentral. Lineage: Eukaryota; Metazoa; Arthropoda; Insecta; Diptera; Tephritidae.